Molecule: ribosomal RNA, 800 nt
Filed under: uncultured bacterium
Lineage: Bacteria
Description: bacterial SSU rRNA
Rfam family: Bacterial small subunit ribosomal RNA
Source: RNAcentral
AGAGUUUGAUCCUGGCUCAGGACGAACGCUGGCGGCGUGCUUAACACAUGCAAGUCGAACGAUGAACCUCCUUCGGGAGGGGAUUAGUGGCGAACGGGUGAGUAACACGUGGGCAAUCUGCCCUGCACUCUGGGACAAGCCCUGGAAACGGGGUCUAAUACCGGAUACGACCACUGAGGGCAUCCUCGGUGGUGGAAAGCUCCGGCGGUGCAGGAUGAGCCCGCGGCCUAUCAGCUUGUUGGUGGGGUGAUGGCCUACCAAGGCGACGACGGGUAGCCGGCCUGAGAGGGCGACCGGCCACACUGGGACUGAGACACGGCCCAGACUCCUACGGGAGGCAGCAGUGGGGAAUAUUGCACAAUGGGCGAAAGCCUGAUGCAGCAACGCCGCGUGAGGGAUGACGGCCUUCGGGUUGUAAACCUCUUUUAGCAAGGAAGAAGCGAAAGUGACGGUACUUGCAGAAAAAGCGCCGGCUAACUACGUGCCAGCAGCCGCGGUAAUACGUAGGGCGCAAGCGUUAUCCGGAAUUAUUGGGCGUAAAGAGCUCGUAGGCGGUUUGUCGCGUCUGCUGUGAAAACUGGAGGCUCAACCUCCAGCCUGCAGUGGGUACGGGCAGACUAGAGUGCGGUAGGGGAGAUUGGAAUUCCUGGUGUAGCGGUGGAAUGCGCAGAUAUCAGGAGGAACACCGAUGGCGAAGGCAGAUCUCUGGGCCGUAACUGACGCUGAGGAGCGAAAGGGUGGGGAGCAAACAGGCUUAGAUACCCUGGUAGUCCACCCCGUAAACGUUGGGAACUAGUUGU